AUUUACCGGGGUUUAAAACAAGAGGUAAUAAACAGAAAGUGAUGUUAGUAUGAGGUCAGAGCUGAGACAGGAAGCACGUGACUUCUGAGAAGGAAAAUCUGUCAAAAACCAGGCAAUACUUGUUGAACCAGCAGCAGCCCAGGGAACAACGACUGCUGGAAGCUGGACCUCGGCCACCGUGUUUCCCCAUCACGGCAGCACCCGUGAGCUGAUACAGACCUGUUGCCCUGGGAGCUGGGCUUCCACGUGACCUCCCCAAGACCACUCAGAUAAUGAGAGGAAAUACAGUCAUCAGCUUACAGAAGGCUGGGGGUUCCAGACUACAGCUGCAAGUCCUCCGCCGCCUGCCUGACCAGAGCCAUUCACCUCUCUGCAGGCAGUUUUCAGCUGUUCCCUGGUCUGGUGUGAAGGCGUUCGAGGGGCCAGAGCAUCUGAUGGUGGGGUCUGGAGAGUUUCAGUUGAUUAAUUGUACUGCCAGUUGCACGGACCCCAAGAAACUUGUUCUGGAGACACACCUAAACAAGACGCUCCUGGACAGCCAGGCUCAGUGGAAGCUAUUCAAGGUCGCCAACAUCUCCAAGGAUGAGAAGCU
RNAcentral lists this long non-coding RNA (592 nucleotides) under Capra hircus (goat). RNAcentral's name for it is "lncRNA (ENSCHIG00010027326.1)". Lineage: Eukaryota; Metazoa; Chordata; Mammalia; Artiodactyla; Bovidae. The record is from RNAcentral.